Molecule: ribosomal RNA, 400 nt
Filed under: uncultured bacterium
Lineage: Bacteria
Description: bacterial SSU rRNA
Rfam family: Bacterial small subunit ribosomal RNA
Source: RNAcentral
CUACCCUUGACAUGUCAGGAAUCCCGGAGAGAUUUGGGAGUGCCCGAAAGGGAGCCGUAACACAGGUGCUGCAUGGCUGUCGUCAGCUCGUGUCGUGAGAUGUUGGGUUAAGUCCCGCAACGAGCGCAACCCUUGUCAUUAGUUGCCACAUUCAGUUGGGCACUCUAAUGAGACUGCCGGUGACAAACCGGAGGAAGGUGGGGAUGACGUCAAGUCCUCAUGGCCCUUAUGGGUAGGGCUUCACACGUAAUACAAUGGUCGGUACAGAGGGUUGCCAACCCGCGAGGGGGAGCUAAUCCCAGAAAGCCGAUCGUAGUCCGGAUUGUUCUCUGCAACUCGAGAGCAUGAAGCCGGAAUCGCUAGUAAUCGCGGAUCAGCAUGUCGCGGUGAAUACGUUCCC